Molecule: unclassified non-coding RNA, 2322 nt
Filed under: Neodiprion pinetum (white pine sawfly)
Lineage: Eukaryota; Metazoa; Arthropoda; Insecta; Hymenoptera; Diprionidae
Description: putative gustatory receptor 28b, transcript variant X3
Source: RNAcentral
GAGAGGGUAACAUCCAAACACACAGCUCAGCUGAUAGCCAGCGUUAUAUGCUACAAGAAAUCGGAAAAGCUCACUGGGAACUCUGUAAGCUGGCUAAUAACAUAAACAUCGUAUUCGGAGUACAAAACCUGCUGUUUAUGGUAAUAUCGGUUAUUGUGACAACGGGAUUGCUGUAUACCAUUUACGUCGCAUACAUGUUGGAAGAUGAGAUGUUUAACAAUCUUACAGCAAUAAUCCAGCCGCUUGCAUGGACGACCAUUUACAUUUACAAAAUUUGGGUGAUUAACCACUCGUGUGGGCGCGCCAGCAACGAGGCUCAAAGAACUGGAGAAGUUAUUUAUGGUCUCAUGAAACCAUGUGCACAAGAUCAGGAACUUCAAACGAAGAUUCAAGAGUUUUCAGUGCAGAUACUUCAGAAUCCCGUACAGUUUGAUGUCUGCGGAUUCUUCAUUAUGAAUUACACAUUUAUUCAAGCUGUGAUCGGAUAUAUAACAACCUAUCUAAUAAUCCUCAUUCAGAUGACGGAGGCACCAAAGAUCCAGGCCUCGAAUCAUUCUGAUAUGACACCGGAAGUUGAGCAGAAGAAUAAAGUACAAUGAAAGUCAUAGUCAAGAACAGAUUAGCAGACUUGCAUUGCGAAAAAGAAAUGGUGAAUUGAAGAUGAUUUCAGCCGUCAUCCAUCGGGAUUGGACUACUAAAAUUGUCAUACCAUUAAGAAAAGAAACAAUGGUCUGUUCUUUUCAAUAAUUCAAGUUAAUAACGGGAUUAAUAAAACAUUAAUAACUAAACUAAUUACUUCGAUAGAAUCAAACUUGAUUCAUUUGAGUUUUACCAUAUAAACCAUGAUUUUUCUUUUUCACGUAGUUUGCUUAGCCUAACAGCAAAUGAGUUUCUAACAUAUUCGUAACACAAUGCGGUUAUCGCAACAUUGUGACUUCUGUGUAUAUAUUUCAAAACUCAGAAAUAAAUAUAAAUAGUGAUGUAAUAUCCACUGAUUUUUCUAUCAGCACUGUAGGAUAUAAAGUACUGCGUGAAAUCAAUGAAUAUCAUAAAAAUUAUAGUUUUGUUUGCCAGAUUAUAAAAGAUACACGGAAAAUUUUUCAGUUCUAAAUCAAUCGGCUGAAACUUGUUUCUUAUCCAACGCUACAAUAUCACACCAAGGAAAAAUUUGAAAUGUUUCAGAUACAUUGCACAAUAUUAUAUCGGAAUGGGGAAAAAGUUCAGGGCACAAUAAAUUUUGAAAAAAUGAUGUGACCGAUGAUUGUAAAAUGCUUCUAUAGUCGAACGUUUCAAUACAAUUUUUUUAGGUAUGGAAAUGAUCACGUAACAGAAGCAAGCUCCGUAGAAAAUAUUCUCUUAAGAAAUUGAACUUCUAUUUACCAACCGAAUAAAGAUUUGCUCAACUUUUAGUUUCGUUGAUAGGGAUAGAAUUCAAGGUACCGGAUUGCGAAUGCUGACUCAUUUAGACGAGAAUUACUAAAGAAGUAGUUAUUGAGCCAAUCACCUGUAAAACGAGAAGCAGAUCAGAAAGAAAUAAGAAAAACGCAUUUGCGAGAGGAUAACGGACUCACUGACUCAAAUGUCGAAUGUAUGCGUAAUCUAUAGUGAAAAAUUCACAGGCAGUAAACCUCACGGGAUUUUGUAGCAUCUGUACGGCAAAUUUUUGAAUCUGUAAUCAACAGAAAUGAAUUUAUCGUGAUUAAUGGAAUAGACCGAAGCUGUAUCCAUUAUUCGUAUACUUGAUACAUAAUAAUUCUAUCCUGUAAUUCGGAACUCAAGAUCAUGUAGUACUCUUCCCUUUAUCGACCGAGCAAACUCAACCUUUUUUUCCUGUAUUAAAUAAACAAAAGGACGAAUAUAUCAGCUAUGAAAUUUUAGGCCCCUGAAAUGCACACACGUCAAAAAAACACACAUUUUUUUAACGAUUUUUGGAAUAUGAGUAACUUUCUUGAAUUCCGUUAGAAACGAGCGCUGCACCGUCGAAAUUUGAACUCUUGCCGUUCGUUUGUUUAUUUAAUAUAGAAAGGAAAAGUGUGAUUGUGCUCGGUCGGUAAAGGUAGAAAUACUAUAUCACCUUAAAUUCAAAAUAAUUCGAAAUACUAUAUCACCAAAAAGUCAAGAUUACAUAUCAACUUGUUCACUAAAGAAUAACCUAGUCCAUUGAAAGAAUGUUUGUUCUGUAACGUAUCACGUUCGUUGAAAAAUAAAAGUUUGCGCACUCUACUUUAUUGUGAAAAGACGUUUUUGACCAACACGGCGAAAAUAUUAUCACGUACUUCUCCCCUUUCAUGAUCAGUCGCGCCAUUUGACAAUUUUAUUAAU